CGGCGUGUAGCGCAGCCUGGUAGCGCACUACAAUGGGGUUGUAGGGGUCGGAGGUUCGAAUCCUCUCACGCCGACCA
Molecule: transfer RNA, 77 nt
Filed under: Gammaproteobacteria bacterium RIFOXYA12_FULL_61_12
Lineage: Bacteria; Pseudomonadati; Pseudomonadota; Gammaproteobacteria
Also listed under: 1 other name
Description: tRNA-Pro
Rfam family: tRNA
About the family: Transfer RNA (tRNA) molecules are approximately 80 nucleotides in length.
Source: RNAcentral